CUAGGAUCUUGAUGUGUUCACCAGACAGGCCUUCAGAGCACCUGGCUGGAGCCACAUUCUACAGAGUCACAAAGUGAGAUUAAGCCUUCUGCCAUGCAGUGGAAAGGAAAUGCACCCUCAGCCCUAGGGCAGUAAAGACACACUCACCAUCAUCCAGAAUGACCAGCAGUGGAGCCAGAAGAUCACACAUGCCCUGGACAUAGCCGAUCUCAAUGUGCUGCCAGAUGUAGCUAGAAGAGACACAAGGGGCCAAUGAUGGCAGCCGUGGCCUGCCUCUCCAACCCACUCCACCUUCUGUUCCUCCUGCUUCGGUCCCCAAUCCCUCACCUGGACCCCUCCCUCAGCCUCCUGCCUGCAUCUCCAUCCCCGAUCUCUCUCUUCAAACAUCCUAUGUGCAGCCACCAGGAUGACCUCCCUAAAGGCCAACUCAGGAGGCCUCUUCAGGCUCAAAACUUGCACAAGCACCCUGCUGUCUGAUGGGAUGUUAUCCAAACUCCUUUACUGGGGGUACAAGGAGUAAUGGCCUCCUCUCAACUCAUCUUCACAGCCUCAAACAUCGCUUCCCACUGUCUUCCUCUCCAGCAACAUUGACGUAUUCACUUUGCACAAAAAAAUCACAAAUUUAUGUUUCUGUAUCUUUGCCUUACAGCUCCCUUUGUCAGGAAUUGCAAUCUGUCCCUUACUAAUAACAGCUUAUAUUUAUCGAGCUCUUACUGUAUACUCAACCCACUAUUUUCUUUUUCUUUUUUUUUUUUUUGAGACGGAGUCUCACUGUUGCUCAGGCUGGAGUGCAGUGGCGUGAUCUCUGCUCACUGCAGGCUCCGCCCCCUGGGUUCACGACAUUCUCCUGCCUCAGCCUCCCGAGUAGCUGGGACUACAGGCGCCCGCCACCUCGCCCAGCUAAUUUUUUGUAUUUUUAGUAGAGAUGGGAUUUCACCAUGUUAGCCAGGAUGGUCUCGAUCUCCUGACCUCAUGACCCGCCCGUCUCGGCCUCCCAAAGUGCUGGGAUUACAGGCGUGAGACACUGCGCCCGGCCUCUCAACCCACUAUUUUCAAAAUAGUCAUGUGAAACAUGGACUAUCCCAUUUCACAGGCAUGAGCCAUUGCACCCAGCCUGAAUGUACACAUUUUUUAAAUGUACAUUUAAAAAAUGUCCAUGGAUUAUCCCAUUUCACAGAUGAGGGGACUGAAGCAUAGACAGGUAAAUGACAUGUCCCAAAUCAUACACUUAAUAAUAAGUGGCAGAGGCAGUACUUGAACCUAGGAGGCCUUACUCAAGGAUAUAUGAUCUUAGCCUCUAUGCUAAAUGGUUUCUUUAGUUUUCUUUUUCUUUUUCCUUUUUUUUUUUUUUUUCUUUUUGUUGAGACAGAGUUUUGUUCUUGUUGCCCAUGCUGGAGUGCAAUGGUGCAAUCUUGGCUCACUGCAACCUCCACUUCCCCGGUUCAAGCAAUUCCCCUGUCUCAGCCUCCUGAGUAGCUGGGAUUACAGGUGUGUGCCACCACACCUGGCUAAUUUUUGUAUUUUUAGUAGAGACAGGGUUUCGCCAUGUUGGCCAGGCUGGUCUCGAACUCCUGACCUCAGGUGAUCUGGCCGCCUCGACCUCCCAUGAGCCGCCGUGCCCAGCCUAUGGUUUCUUUAGUUUUCUUAACGUUGUCAAAAUCCAUCUCAAAGGUCACCACCACUGUGAAGUCUUCCAUGAUUUCUCCCUAUGCCUUAACCAGGGAGGAGUCAGUUUAUUUUUACUUCUUCCCAGCAUUUUUUUCAUUUUAAUGUAACACUUAUGAGACUAUAUCAUAGUUUAAAACAUUUAAAAAAUAUGUACAUUCAGGCUGGGUGCGAUGGCUCAUGACUGUAAUCCUAGCACUUGGGAGGUCAAGGCAGGUGGAUUGCCUGAGCUCAGGAGUUCAAGACCAGCCUGGGCAACAUGGUGAAACCCCAUCUCUACUACAAUACAAAAAAUUAGCCGGGCCUGGCAGCGUGCACCUAUAGUCCCAGCUACUCGGGAGGCUGAGGUAGGAGAAUUGCUUGAACCCAGGAGGCGGAGAUUGCAGUGAGCCGAGAUCGCACCACUGUACUCCAGCCUGGGCAACAGAGCGAGACUCCAUCUCCAUUAAAAAAAAAAAAAAGUACAUUCAUAUUAUGUUAUACAAUAUACAAUCAAUUAGAUAUUACUAAAUUGUUAGUAGUCAUUAAUUCUGGGUGAGUGGCACUGCCGGGCAGAGAUGAAGGGAGAAGUUUCUCUUUCUAUCUUAUGAACUUCUAAUUUCUUUGAUUUAGAUUUUUGUUUUGUUUUGAGACAGGGUCUCAUUCUGUUGCCCGGGCUGGAGUGCAGUUGUGUGAUCACAGUUCAUUGUUGCCUCAACCUCCCAGGUUCAAGCCAUCCUGCUGCCUCAGCCUCCCAAAGUAGCUACGACUAUAGGCGUAUACAAUCAUGCCUGGCUAAUUUAUUAAAACUUUUGUAGAGAUGGGGUCUUGUUAUGUUGCCCAGACUGGGUCUUAAACUCUUGGCCUCAAGCAAUCCUCCUGCCUUGGCCUCCCAAAGUGCUGGGAUUAGAGUUGUCAGUGAUUUAGAUUUUUAACAAGCAUGGGUUACUUUCAUAUUUUAAGAAAUAUCAAUAAUUAUUUUUAUUAUUUUUAUUACUUUUUAAGAGAUGGGGUCUUACUCUGUCACCCAGGCUGGAGUACAAUGGUGUAAUCAUAGCUCACUACAACCCUCUAACCUCUAGGCUCAAGCUAUCCUCCUGCCUCCACCUCCCAAGUAUGCAGGACUACAAGUGCAUGCCACUAUGUCCAGCUAAAUGUUGAGUUAAAAAAAAUUAUUUUGUAGUGAUAGGGUCUCACUAUGUUGCCAGGCCAGUCUCUACUUUUUUGAAGUCUGUGAAGAACUCAAGUGGCCUCAAGUGAUCCUCCCACGUCAGCUUCCCAAAGUGCUGGGAUUACAGGAAUAAUAUCUUUUUAGUGAACAGUAAUAACCAGUCGUAGAUCUUGGCUUAAAGAAAAAUAGAAAAAGGACAGAUUCUACAGCCAGAGACAUGGCUAUGAGUUCCCGCUCAGCCACUGCCCGAUGCCCACUCAGCAAUGAGGCUCUUCCUGGAGCCUCCACAUCGUCACCUAUAAAAGGGGUUAAUACCUCGUCGGGUUGAGGAAUAAGUGAGCGAUGAUAGUACAGGCCUCAGGACAGUGGCUGGUAUACAGUAAGUGCUUAAUAAAUGUUCUAUAUUAUUGUUGUUAAAUUUUCACUGUGGGCUAAGUAAGAUUCCAGGUGAGUAUGAUGCCAGCUUCAGAAGCUGAAAUAACUUCUAGGCGGGCCCCCUACAUCCCCCAUCCCACCCACCCACCAUCCCCAUCCCCUAGAUCCCCUCGCUGUCCCCAGCCACCUGCACAUGAUGUUACGCAGCUUCUCCAAGUUGGCGGGCGUGAAGUACCAGUAGUUGCGGUCGCACCUCUGCACAUCCUUCUCGAUGCGGUGCAGGUUCACCGUGUACAGAUCCAGCAGCUCUGGCUAUAGGCCAUCGGGGCAGGGGGUAGGGGGAAGAAAUGAAAAAUCACAUCUAAGUCCCCACUGGAAAGCAGCAAUCCUAUCUCCUCUUCCUAACCCUCUCCUGUUGUCACUGAAAAUACAUCUCCCACCUGGACCAGCCAGGUGUUUGAUUUUGUUUGUUUGUUUUCUGGGAGGGUGUGUUUAAUUUGCAGGAUGAAAAUUCUCCCUCAGAGAGUUACAACUAUAGCUGGAAGUGAACCUCUCUCUGCUGAAAACUGGACAAGGAGAAUGAAGAACUGCACAGAGGGCAAAUUCUGUGAAUCCUCCAUGACGGAAAAAAUGCAACGAACCAGAGGUCUGACUCCGGGGUCAUUCUGGAUAACAGGCUUGUAGUACAUCCCACCCUCCUGCAGCUGGAAAGAAGGAAAUGGAACGGAGGGUCCUGGUGACUUACAGAGUAGGUGACGCCGCUGGAAGACACAGGGGACACCUCGUUGGCAGAAGUAGUCACAGCCAGAGAAGCCAGG
RNAcentral lists this long non-coding RNA (4008 nucleotides) under Homo sapiens (human). Its description in RNAcentral is "HSALNT0276069". The record is from RNAcentral. Lineage: Eukaryota; Metazoa; Chordata; Mammalia; Primates; Hominidae.